GAUGAACGCUGGCGGCGUGCCUAAUACAUGCAAGUCGAGCGAACAGACGAGGAGCUUGCUCCUCUGACGUUAGCGGCGGACGGGUGAGUAACACGUGGAUAACCUACCUAUAAGACUGGGAUAACUUCGGGAAACCGGAGCUAAUACCGGAUAAUAUAUUGAACCGCAUGGUUCAAUAGUGAAAGACGGUUUUGCUGUCACUUAUAGAUGGAUCCGCGCCGCAUUAGCUAGUUGGUAAGGUAACGGCUUACCAAGGCGACGAUGCGUAGCCGACCUGAGAGGGUGAUCGGCCACACUGGAACUGAGACACGGUCAAGACGACUAAGGGAGGCAGCAGUAGGGAAUCUUCCGCAAUGGGCGAAAGCAUGACGGAGCAACGCCGCGUGAGUGAUGAAGGUCUUCGGAUCGUAAAACUCUGUUAUGAGGGAAGAACAAAUGUGUAAGUAACUAUGCACGUCUUGACGGUACCUAAUCAGAAAGCCACGGCUAACUACGUG
Molecule: ribosomal RNA, 497 nt
Filed under: uncultured bacterium
Lineage: Bacteria
Description: partial 16S ribosomal RNA
Rfam family: Bacterial small subunit ribosomal RNA
Source: RNAcentral